RNAcentral lists this long non-coding RNA (1580 nucleotides) under Macaca mulatta (Rhesus monkey). RNAcentral describes it as "lncRNA (ENSMMUG00000055555.1)". The stretch from base 391 to 525 matches the Rfam family "Myocardial infarction associated transcript exon 1". The record is from RNAcentral. Lineage: Eukaryota; Metazoa; Chordata; Mammalia; Primates; Cercopithecidae.
GGCUUCUGCGCCCCUGGUCCGCGGUCGCGCGCCGCCCCCGCGCCUCUCCAGCCCUGAGCUCUCUGCGGCCGAAAGUGGCCGGGCAAGCGUUGCCAUGACAGCGCCGCGGGUGGGGAUGCGGGAGGCUGAGAGCGCCGGCCUGCUAGCCCCUUUGUGCGGCGGGGGCGGCGGUGUGCUCCCUCCAAGACCCGCUGCACACCGCUUUCCUGGCCAGGACUCUGGGCUGGGUAAGGAGGGGUUGGGUGUGGGGUUGUAGGGGCGCAAGGAAGCGGGAGGGUGGAGGCGAGGGCCGGGGGUGGGGCGCCUCCGCCCGCCAGCCGCUCCCGCAUUAAAAUUUCAUGGGCGCUGCAGCAGCUACAAAGACGACGCCGGCUGCGCUCGGGGGACCAGAGGGAGGGAGGCUGCGGACGAGUGCGGGGAGGAGUUUGAGAUGGGAGGCGCUUGCAGGGGCUCCCCCAGUUCUGCGCUGUGAGCCGGGGCACAAAGAGCCCUCUGCACUCGCGCCGCAGGACCGCGGACCCGAGAGAGCAGCAAGUUCCUGGGACAGAGGAGACAGAAGGGAAUUUCCCGGUUCUUCAGGAUGUUCACAACCACACUGAGAAGCAUCCUUGCAGAUAAGUAUUUAAACUUACCAGGCCAUAGCCUACCAGCCUGCCCUCUUCUGGUCUGUGCAGGGAAGUGUAGUAUCCUAGAAUCCCAAAGUGGGAGGGGAAAUGGGUGAUGUAGCUCAUUCUCUUUUCUGAGUCUAUGGAAGAAAGAAAGAGCUUGUCCCCAUUUUGUGGGGUCCCAGAAAGGGUGAUUUUCACACUCCACAUUCGGCAUUAGGGCUAGUAUUUUAUAAACGUCACCGUCUGGAACUUUUGAAGGCUGAGUUAAAUGACUUCACCUUGUGUACUUGUAGAACUGCUAUUAGGAGGAAGCUGGGGACUCCCUGGUAAUGUGAACUAGCCCUUUUCAAUUUUGGUGUUUUGUGAUCAUAUUUAUAAACCUUGGCUAGAGCUCCUUGGCCUUGCAGUUAAGUGAAGAGUUAGCAGUGUGACUUUAGAUGCAUUUUUCUCAGUGCAAGUGUCUGAGUUCACCUCCAGUUCUGAACUCAUGCCCCCACUCCCAGGUGCUGACAGAAAGCUUUGAAGAUAUGCUGAGAUGGCUCCCUGACAAUCCUGAUUCAGGUCUGUCAGUUGAUGAAGACAGCGUAGUUGUCACCAAAGGCAAAACCUGGCAGAUGGUCCUGGGUCAGGAUUAGUGGUCAUUCUCUGGUCUUCUCCAGACUGGUGACACAGGGUGGUCUUAAAAGAGUCCUACUCCAGCCUCUGGCUCCCCGAAUUUCCUCUGGUGCAUGGGGCAUCAGGAAAGGGCAGGGGAGAAGGAGGGGGAGCAGAAAAAUCACUGCUGGGCAGCAGGGUCCCUUCCAUUUCCCCAUCCAUUGCUUCAAACAAUGGGUGAUUAUUGUGCACCUUGAGUGAAUGUCAAGGCAGGAAGAGUCCCAGGGCCACCCAGUGUGGCAGGAGCAGAGCUGGGAUCAGAAUUCUGGAUUCCUGACUCUCCGUUCAGCUGCAAUUCAGCUGUCACCAAGCUGCUGA